GAGUUUGAUCGUGGCUCAGGAUGAACGCUGGCGGCGUGCCUAAUACAUGCAAGUCGAGCGAACAGACGAGGAGCUUGCUCCUCUGACGUUAGCGGCGGACGGGUGAGUAACACGUGGAUAACCUACCUAUAAGACUGGGAUAACUUCGGGAAACCGGAGCUAAUACCGGAUAAUAUAUUGAACCGCAUGGUUCAAUAGUGGAAGACGGUUUUGCUGUCACUUAUAGAUGGAUCCGCGCCGCAUUAGCUAGUUGGUAAAGUAACGGCUUACCAAGGCAACGAUGGCGUAGCCGACCUGAGAGGGUGAUCGGCCACACUGGAACUGAGACACGGUCCAGACUCCUACGGGAGGCAGCAGUAGGGAAUCUUCCGCAAUGGGCGAAAAGCCUGACGGAGCAACGCCGCGUGAGUGAUGAAGGUCUUCGGAUCGUAAAACUCUGUUAUUAGGGAAGAACAAAUGUGUAAGUAACUAUGCACGUCUUGACGGUACCUAAUCAGAAAGCCAACGGCUAACUACGUGCCAGCCC
This 526-nucleotide ribosomal RNA is filed under the name uncultured microorganism. RNAcentral's name for it is "bacterial SSU rRNA". It matches the Rfam family "Bacterial small subunit ribosomal RNA", at positions 9 to 514 of the family's 1533-position model. The record is from RNAcentral.